UACGUAGGCAGCAAGCGUUGUUCGGAGUUACUGGGCGUAAAGGGUGUGUAGGCGGUUCUUUAAGUUUGCUGUGAAAUCUCCCGGCUUAACCGGGAGGGUGCGGUGGAUACUGAGGGACUAGAGUACGGGAGAGGAAAGUGGAAUUCCUGGUGUAGCGGCGAAAUGCGUAGAUAUCAGGAGGAACACCGGUGGUGUAGACGGCUUUCUGGACCGUAACUGACGCUGAGACACGAAAGCGUGGGUAGCAAACAGG
Molecule: ribosomal RNA, 253 nt
Filed under: uncultured bacterium
Lineage: Bacteria
Description: partial 16S ribosomal RNA
Rfam family: Bacterial small subunit ribosomal RNA
Source: RNAcentral